UACGUAGGGUGCAAGCGUUGCCCGGAUUUAUUGGGCGUAAAGAGCUCGUAGGCGGUUCGGUAAGUCGGAUGUGAAAUCCCCACGCUCAACGUGGAGGGGCCAUUCGAUACUGCCGUGACUCGAGUCCGGUAGGGGAGUGUGGAAUUCCCGGUGUAGCGGUGAAAUGCGCAGAGAUCGGGAGGAACACCCGUAGCGAAGGCGGCACUCUGGGCCGGUACUGACGCUGAGGAGCGAAAGCGUGGGGAGCGAACAGG
This 254-nucleotide ribosomal RNA is filed under the name uncultured bacterium. Its description in RNAcentral is "partial 16S ribosomal RNA". It matches the Rfam family "Bacterial small subunit ribosomal RNA", at positions 524 to 776 of the family's 1533-position model. The record is from RNAcentral.